UACGGAGGAUGCAAGCGUUAUCCGGAAUGAUUGGGCGUAAAGCGUCCGCAGGUGGCUGUGUAAGUCUGCUGUUAAAGAGUGAGGCUCAACCUCAUAAAGGCAGUGGAAACUACAUGGCUAGAGUGCGUUCGGGGCAGAGGGAAUUCCUGGUGUAGCGGUGAAAUGCGUAGAGAUCAGGAAGAACACCCGUGGCGAAGGCGGCUCUCUGGGACGGUACUGACGCUGAGACGCGAAAGCGUGGGGAGCGAACAGG
Molecule: ribosomal RNA, 253 nt
Filed under: uncultured bacterium
Lineage: Bacteria
Description: partial 16S ribosomal RNA
Rfam family: Bacterial small subunit ribosomal RNA
Source: RNAcentral